Molecule: ribosomal RNA, 253 nt
Filed under: uncultured bacterium
Lineage: Bacteria
Description: partial 16S ribosomal RNA
Rfam family: Bacterial small subunit ribosomal RNA
Source: RNAcentral
UACGUAGGGGGCGAGCGUUGUCCGGAAUUACUGGGCGUAAAGGGCGCGUAGGCGGUCUAAUAAGUCAGAUGUGAAACCCCCGGGCUUAACCCUGGGCUUGCAUUUGAAACUGUUGGACUUGAGGACAGGAGAGGAAAGCGGAAUUCCCAGUGUAGCGGUGAAAUGCGUAGAUAUUGGGAGGAACACCAGUGGCGAAGGCGGCUUUCUGGACUGCACCUGACGCUGAGGCGCGAAAGCCAGGGGAGCGAACGGG